Molecule: unclassified non-coding RNA, 337 nt
Filed under: Hevea brasiliensis (rubber tree)
Lineage: Eukaryota; Viridiplantae; Streptophyta; Magnoliopsida; Malpighiales; Euphorbiaceae
Source: RNAcentral
GUCAGAAUCUCCUGUAAUCCAGCAUGAGAGCAAUUUAUAUAAUGAUGCGAGUCUGGUUAACAAUCUUCCCAUUACAUCUGAGCUCCUUAACAUUCCUUCUGAAGACAGGCAUGAAGUGUUGUCUUCUGAUUAUCAGCAGUUACCCAAUUUGGAUGGUGAGGAUCCAUCGGUAGGUGAUGAUUCAGCCUCCUUAUAUAAUCUUCCUAAUUGUCCUUCAUCGGAAGAAGGUCAUACCUCACCUUCAUUGUUGGCUGUAAACCAUCCAAACCACGUGGAUAAUGGUCUAGACAAUGAGAAUUUAAAUGGUAGUUCUGUUGGUUCAGUUCAGAUACUGGAU